UACGGAGGAUGCAAGCGUUAUCCGGAAUGGUUGGGCGUAAAGCGUCCGCAGGUGGCAAUGUAAGUCUGCUGUCAAAGCGUCUGGCUCAACCAGAUAAAGGCAGUGGAAACUACAUAGCUAGAGUAAGGUAGGGGUAGAGGGAAUUCCUGGUGUAGCGGUGAAAUGCGUAGAGAUUGGGAAGAACAUCAGUGGCGAAAGCGCUCUACUGGACCUUAUCUGACAUUGAGGGACGAAAGCUAGGGGAGCGAAUGGG
This 253-nucleotide ribosomal RNA is filed under the name uncultured bacterium. Its description in RNAcentral is "partial 16S ribosomal RNA". It matches the Rfam family "Bacterial small subunit ribosomal RNA", at positions 524 to 776 of the family's 1533-position model. The record is from RNAcentral.